ACGUAGGUGGCAAGCGUUAUCCGGAUUUACUGGGUGUAAAGGGCGCGUAGGCGGGGAUACAAGUCAGAUGUGAAAUCUAUGGGCUUAACCCAUAAACUGCAUUUGAAACUGUAUCUCUUGAGUGUCGGAGAGGUAGACGGAAUUCCUAGUGUAGCGGUGAAAUGCGUAGAUAUUAGGAGGAACACCAGUGGCGAAGGCGGUCUACUGGACGAUAACUGACGCUGAGGCGCGAAAGCGUGGGGAGCAAACAG
RNAcentral lists this ribosomal RNA (251 nucleotides) under uncultured bacterium. RNAcentral describes it as "partial 16S ribosomal RNA". It matches the Rfam family "Bacterial small subunit ribosomal RNA", at positions 525 to 775 of the family's 1533-position model. The record is from RNAcentral.